RNAcentral lists this ribosomal RNA (499 nucleotides) under uncultured bacterium. RNAcentral's name for it is "partial 16S ribosomal RNA". It matches the Rfam family "Bacterial small subunit ribosomal RNA", at positions 28 to 507 of the family's 1533-position model. The record is from RNAcentral.
GACGAACGCUGGCGGCGUGCCUAAUACAUGCAAGUCGAGCGAAGUUUUUCUGGUGCUUGCACCGGAAAAACUUAGCGGCGAACGGGUGAGUAACACGUAAAGAACCUGCCUCAUAGACUGGGACAACUAUUGGAAACGAUAGCUCAUACCGGAUAACAGCAUUAACUGCAUGGUUGAUGUUUGAAAGUUGGUUUUGCUAACACUAUAAGAUGGCUUUGCGGGGCAUUAGCUAGUUGGUGGGGUAAAGGCCUACCAAGGCGACGAUGCAUGGCCGACCUGAGAGGGUGAUCGGCCACACGGGGACUGAGACACGGCCCAGACUCCUACGGGAGGCAGCAGUAGGGUAUCUUCCGCAAUGGGCGAAAGCCUGACGGAGCAACGCCGCGUGAGUGAAGAAGGAUUUCGGUUCGUAAAGCUCUGUUGUUAGGGAAGAAUGAUUAUGUAGUAACUCUACAUAGUAGAGACGGUACCUAACCAGAAAGCCACGGCUAACUACGUG